GAUGGCAGCAACACUGACUGUGCAUCCAAAUCUGGGGUUUGCCCUCUUGACUUGGGUGGGUAGGCUUUGAAUAAUUUCUUGGCUAAGAGCUCAUCAAAUUGGUCCUGAAAACUUAAAAAAGUGAAAAAAUCUACCUUCUUUCAGGCAUGUGAUCUCAAUGUCUGUGAUCUUCCUCCUGGAAAGGCAUUUCUUGGCUCAGGUCUCUCUGGGCUGGCACUGAAGUAUCCUUUGUCCUUUUGUGUGGUUUGUAAUGCUUGGGAAAUGGUGCUGGAGGCAAAGUUUGAUUGCUGGUGUAUUUUGUACUUCAGGCUGUGUUCUGAAGCCCAGGAGAUCAGCACUGAAUGUUCUUUUUGUCACAUUCCUCCCUACCUAUGUCAGCCUUCAGAGCAGGGAGUACCAGCACUGACCAUAAAACUGGGAAACACCAUUUCCAUGGCACACCACACCAGGAGAGUGGGUGAGACAAUGGAGUCUGCCCAAAUCUUUUACCAGCAUGGAAGAAGAGGAUGAGCAUCCAGUUCUCUGCUUUAAGAGGAGACUGUAAAGGUACCAGAUGAGUGGGAAAGGCAAAAAGCAUCAGGCAGUAGAAGACCUUAGUUUCUAGUUCAAAUGAAAAUAGCACUACAUGAACUAUAAGGGUUUCAGGUAAAUGAAGCAGCAGGAGUUUGAUUGUGAUGGCAGGUGUUUGGAAGAGCUAUUAAAUUACUCUAGCUGGUUCCACAUCAGUAAAAAAAAAAGUGAUUGAUUUUGAGGACUGCAAAACCUGUAUUGUAAAGCUAAUAAGGUUUCAAGAAAAAUACAGGACUGCAGGAACAGAGAGGAAAAAAAAAGUGGAGGAAAACUUAUUAGUUAUGCCUGACAACUGGAGGGAUAGACCAGCCUCUCUCUAGCAGACACGGAAUCAAGUUAGUAAUCUUUUUCUUGACUUCUGUGCCUGUACAUAGGAGGAAUUCUGCUGAAAAUAUGCUGUUUUCAGCAGAAAGUGAAGAGCUGCAUUUGAAUCAUCUUUGUAGGUAGCCCAAAAAAAUUACUUGUGAGCAUUUUCAGUAUUAGUCUUUCCUGAAGGUCCAGAGAGGAGUUGGAGGGCAGACACCAGUUUCAUACUCUGCUCAUCCUUCCCUUGCUUGCACAGUUGCACCAAGGAAAACCAAAAUACUGCCCUACUCCAGCAGCAGUGCUUUAUGCUCUUUCCUACUCCACCAUGUCUCUCUUAUUUAAAUGUGGCGAGUGAAAAUCCUGCUCAAUAAUACGUGUCUCACAAACGGAGGAAAACUACGUGAUGCAUAAAGGGACUUUCAGAAAAAGAAUGUAAUUUCUCCUGGAAAUUCAUUGUCUUUUAAUAAAACAACCCUGGGCUUUUUAAACA
Junco hyemalis (dark-eyed junco) is the source of this 1366-nucleotide long non-coding RNA. Lineage: Eukaryota; Metazoa; Chordata; Aves; Passeriformes; Passerellidae. The record is from Ensembl.